Talpa occidentalis (Iberian mole) is the source of this 1042-nucleotide long non-coding RNA. RefSeq lists it as uncharacterized. The record is from RefSeq and is a predicted model, not a curated record. Lineage: Eukaryota; Metazoa; Chordata; Mammalia; Eulipotyphla; Talpidae. The transcript has 5 exons.
GGCAAGCUUUAAAGCGGAGCUGAAUGUCAUUUUAAUCAUCUAUGGCAGGAACCCAAUUUCCCAGAUCUGUAGAUCCAGAUUGAAGGUUUGAUUUAUAAGCUUCUGGGGAAGGACGGCGCCUGACUGCACCUGCAAUGACUAAGAGGACUUUGGAAAAGCCACUCUCCUAACAAUGACAUCAACUCCAAUUGCUUGAGAACCUACUAUGUGCCCAGCUGAUGCCAGAAGCUUCCAGUCAACUUCUUACUUAAUCUUCACAACAGCCUCUCCCAUAAGGCUGCCGCCCCUGAAAACCUCGUUGGAACUUCUAGAGAGACUGAGCCAGAAGCACCCAGCUGAGCCACUUCCAGAUUCCUGAUGCACAAAAAAUGAUCACUUGGGUGUUGUGUAAUUCCAGAGCUCAAGGUGCUGAGUUGCUCACCUGGAAACAACAGCUUCUCUGAAAGUACUUAACCAAGCUGUGCUGUUAUCCCUGGCUCCAUUAUAAACCAAACCCCAUCUCCAUACCACCCAGCCAAGCAACCCCAACUUCACGCUAAAUGCAUAAUUUACUAUAAAUUGAACUUAAUGGGACUAGAGUAAUUAUGUUGACUUUUCAAAAUACUUUCAGAUAAAUACAUAAUUAAGUAUUUCAGAAUAUAAUCCUUCUCUAGUGUGUUUCCCAAGGGAGAGAGGAGGGGGAGGUGGAAGUUAGAGAGAUGGCACAGAAGGAGGUAGGUGGGAGGCUUUAGAAACACAUUUAAGUGUGUCUGAGUGUGUCUAAGACACACUGUGAUCCCAGUGGGGAGUGGGACCCAGGCUGACAUUUCAGGAGGGUGAUUUCACUAUACAUGUGAAAAGCCUUUAAAAAUUCCCAUACCUUUGACCCAUUGAGACCAGAAAUUAGUUGAGGAAAUUGAAUCAGAGAUGGAGACAAAAAUCUGUGUGCGGGGUUCGUCACCCCAGCAUCACUUAAAAAGAUCAAAUGCUGGGAACCAUCUAAAUACCUAAUAAUGGCAAAUUUGUUAAAUCAAUUAUGGAUGAAAAGUAAUUAUGAUGAGAU